AUGCCGUAGAACAGGGAUUCUAACUCCCACCACUAACUCCCAAAGCUAGUAUUCUAAACUAAACUAUUUCCUGA
This 74-nucleotide transfer RNA is filed under the name Megaleporinus elongatus. Its description in RNAcentral is "tRNA-Pro". Lineage: Eukaryota; Metazoa; Chordata; Actinopteri; Characiformes; Anostomidae. The record is from RNAcentral.